ACUUAGUGAUGUGGGAAUUUGCGCAAAAGGUCCCUAAAGCGCUCUUAGGUCUCGAAAAAUUGUUCACCAUCUAUUUGUGAAAAGCUGGUGAUUGCCUUCCUAAGAU
Molecule: small nucleolar RNA, 106 nt
Organism: Malania oleifera
Lineage: Eukaryota; Viridiplantae; Streptophyta; Magnoliopsida; Santalales; Ximeniaceae
Source: RefSeq, a predicted model, not a curated record